RNAcentral lists this ribosomal RNA (427 nucleotides) under uncultured bacterium. RNAcentral describes it as "partial 16S ribosomal RNA". It matches the Rfam family "Bacterial small subunit ribosomal RNA", at positions 354 to 796 of the family's 1533-position model. The record is from RNAcentral.
GUGGGGAAUAUUGGGCAAUGGGGGCAACCCUGACCCAGCGACGCCGCGUGAGGGAAGAAGGCCUUAGGGUCGUAAACCUCUGUUGUGUGGGAAGAAGAGCGUGACGGUACCACACGAGGAAGUCCCGGCUAACUACGUGCCAGCAGCCGCGGUAAUACGUAGGGGACGAGCGUUGUCCGGAUUUACUGGGCGUAAAGGGCGCGUAGGCGGUCAUUUAAGUCAGCUGUGAAAUGGUGCGGCUUAACCGCAUCAUGCGGUUGAAACUGGAUGACUGGAGUGCUGGAGAGGCAAGUGGAAUUCCCAGUGUAGCGGUGAAAUGCGUAGAUAUUGGGAAGAACACCGGUGGCGAAGGCGACUUGCUGGCCAGCAACUGACGCUGAGGCGCGAAAGCCAGGGGAGCAAACGGGAUUAGAAACCCUUGUAGUCC